UUAGAAUAGGCGGACACUGCUGCAGCUCGGCUGUUGACUGCGACCAUGCUCGCUGCGUUGCUCCGGCGCUAAUGGAAGGAGGAGCCUCGCUAUCUAAUCAUGGACGCUGUUGCAGCUCUGUUGUUGAAACGCUGCCGCUGCACUUUCUUCUUCUAUCUUCGCUGUUGUUUGCACAAGGUUGGCCUUAGUGGUUCUGCUAAUGGGAGGAGUUCUCCUUGGCUUCUCUGCAUUGAUGAGUUUCCUGAGCUGUUCCACCUUUUACUGAACCGCUGUCAUCCCUGAUUACUGCAACCAUCACCCCUGUUUUGCUGUGCUCUGAGAACGCUGCAUCUCUGUUGAUCUCGAGGCAUUCUUUGGGCGGUGGCCUCCACUUUACUGGUAUGCUUCCUCUUUUAACUGCCUUUGAUUCUAUUUGCUCUGUGGUUUCCCUGGCUUUCUUGUACUCUAGCUUGGAUUAUAGUGCUUAGAGGAUCUGCUUUUAGAUUGUGAAAUAUUGCUGCAUUUCUCGUCUUCCAUAUAGCCCAGAUCAUGUACCCCAUGCUGCUCCAUCUC
Molecule: long non-coding RNA, 552 nt
Organism: Arachis stenosperma
Lineage: Eukaryota; Viridiplantae; Streptophyta; Magnoliopsida; Fabales; Fabaceae
Exons: 3
Source: RefSeq, a predicted model, not a curated record